This 435-nucleotide ribosomal RNA is filed under the name uncultured bacterium. RNAcentral's name for it is "partial 16S ribosomal RNA". It matches the Rfam family "Bacterial small subunit ribosomal RNA", at positions 29 to 507 of the family's 1533-position model. The record is from RNAcentral.
AGCGAACGCUGGCGGCAGGCUUAACACAUGCAAGUCGAACGGGCAUCUUCGGAUGUCAGUGGCAGACGGGUGAGUAACACGUGGGAACGUACCCUUCGGUUCGGAAUAACUCAGGGAAACUUGAGCUAAUACCGGAUACGCCCUUUUGGGGAAAGGUUUACUGCCGAAGGAUCGGCCCGCGUCUGAUUAGCUGGUUGGUGGGGUAACGGCCUACCAAGGCGACGAUCAGUAGCUGGUCUGAGAGGAUGAUCAGCCACACUGGGACUGAGACACGGCCCAGACUCCUACGGGAGGCAGCAGUGGGGAAUAUUGGACAAUGGGCGCAAGCCUGAUCCAGCCAUGCCGCGUGAGUGAUGAAGGCCUUAGGGUUGUAAAGCUCUUUUGUCCGGGACGAUAAUGACGGUACCGGAAGAAUAAGCCCCGGCUAACUUCGUG